GCCUGGGUGGCUUAGUAGGUUAAGCAUCUGACUUCAGCUCAGGUCAUAACCUUGCAGUCUGUGAGUUUGAGUCCUAUGUCAGGCU
RNAcentral lists this transfer RNA (85 nucleotides) under Felis catus (domestic cat). It matches the Rfam family "tRNA". From Rfam's summary of the family: Transfer RNA (tRNA) molecules are approximately 80 nucleotides in length. Their secondary structure includes four short double-helical elements and three loops (D, anti-codon, and T loops). The record is from Rfam by way of RNAcentral. Lineage: Eukaryota; Metazoa; Chordata; Mammalia; Carnivora; Felidae.